UUAAGCGACUAAGCGUACACGGUGGAUGCCCUGGCAGUCAGAGGCGAUGAAGGACGUGCUAAUCUGCGAUAAGCGUCGGUAAGGUGAUAUGAACCGUUAUAACCGGCGAUUUCCGAAUGGGGAAACCCAGUGUGUUUCGACACACUAUCAUUAACUGAAUCCAUAGGUUAAUGAGGCGAACCGGGGGAACUGAAACAUCUAAGUACCCCGAGGAAAAGAAAUCAACCGAGAUUCCCCCAGUAGCGGCGAGCGAACGGGGAGGAGCCCAGAGCCUGAAUCAGUGUGUGUGUUAGUGGAAGCGUCUGGAAAGGCGCGCGAUACAGGGUGACAGCCCCGUACACAAAAAUGCACAUGCUGUGAGCUCGAUGAGUAGGGCGGGACACGUGGUAUCCUGUCUGAAUAUGGGGGGACCAUCCUCCAAGGCUAAAUACUCCUGACUGACCGAUAGUGAACCAGUACCGUGAGGGAAAGGCGAAAAGAACCCCGGCGAGGGGAGUGAAAAAGAACCUGAAACCGUGUACGUACAAGCAGUGGGAGCACGCUUAGGCGUGUGACUGCGUACCUUUUGUAUAAUGGGUCAGCGACUUAUAUUCUGUAGCAAGGUUAACCGAAUAGGGGAGCCGAAGGGAAACCGAGUCUUAACUGGGCGUUAAGUUGCAGGGUAUAGACCCGAAACCCGGUGAUCUAGCCAUGGGCAGGUUGAAGGUUGGGUAACACUAACUGGAGGACCGAACCGACUAAUGUUGAAAAAUUAGCGGAUGACUUGUGGCUGGGGGUGAAAGGCCAAUCAAACCGGGAGAUAGCUGGUUCUCCCCGAAAGCUAUUUAGGUAGCGCCUCGUGAAUUCAUCUCCGGGGGUAGAGCACUGUUUCGGCAAGGGGGUCAUCCCGACUUACCAACCCGAUGCAAACUGCGAAUACCGGAGAAUGUUAUCACGGGAGACACACGGCGGGUGCUAACGUCCGUCGUGAAGAGGGAAACAACCCAGACCGCCAGCUAAGGUCCCAAAGUCAUGGUUAAGUGGGAAACGAUGUGGGAAGGCCCAGACAGCCAGGAUGUUGGCUUAGAAGCAGCCAUCAUUUAAAGAAAGCGUAAUAGCUCACUGGUCGAGUCGGCCUGCGCGGAAGAUGUAACGGGGCUAAACCAUGCACCGAAGCUGCGGCAGCGACGCUUAUGCGUUGUUGGGUAGGGGAGCGUUCUGUAAGCCUGCGAAGGUGUGCUGUGAGGCAUGCUGGAGGUAUCAGAAGUGCGAAUGCUGACAUAAGUAACGAUAAAGCGGGUGAAAAGCCCGCUCGCCGGAAGACCAAGGGUUCCUGUCCAACGUUAAUCGGGGCAGGGUGAGUCGACCCCUAAGGCGAGGCCGAAAGGCGUAGUCGAUGGGAAACAGGUUAAUAUUCCUGUACUUGGUGUUACUGCGAAGGGGGGACGGAGAAGGCUAUGUUGGCCGGGCGACGGUUGUCCCGGUUUAAGCGUGUAGGCUGGUUUUCCAGGCAAAUCCGGAAAAUCAAGGCUGAGGCGUGAUGACGAGGCACUACGGUGCUGAAGCAACAAAUGCCCUGCUUCCAGGAAAAGCCUCUAAGCAUCAGGUAACAUCAAAUCGUACCCCAAACCGACACAGGUGGUCAGGUAGAGAAUACCAAGGCGCUUGAGAGAACUCGGGUGAAGGAACUAGGCAAAAUGGUGCCGUAACUUCGGGAGAAGGCACGCUGAUAUGUAGGUGAAGCGACUUGCUCGUGGAGCUGAAAUCAGUCGAAGAUACCAGCUGGCUGCAACUGUUUAUUAAAAACACAGCACUGUGCAAACACGAAAGUGGACGUAUACGGUGUGACGCCUGCCCGGUGCCGGAAGGUUAAUUGAUGGGGUUAGCGCAAGCGAAGCUCUUGAUCGAAGCCCCGGUAAACGGCGGCCGUAACUAUAACGGUCCUAAGGUAGCGAAAUUCCUUGUCGGGUAAGUUCCGACCUGCACGAAUGGCGUAAUGAUGGCCAGGCUGUCUCCACCCGAGACUCAGUGAAAUUGAACUCGCUGUGAAGAUGCAGUGUACCCGCGGCAAGACGGAAAGACCCCGUGAACCUUUACUAUAGCUUGACACUGAACAUUGAGCCUUGAUGUGUAGGAUAGGUGGGAGGCUUUGAAGUGUGGACGCCAGUCUGCAUGGAGCCGACCUUGAAAUACCACCCUUUAAUGUUUGAUGUUCUAACGUGGACCCGUAAUCCGGGUUGCGGACAGUGUCUGGUGGGUAGUUUGACUGGGGCGGUCUCCUCCUAAAGAGUAACGGAGGAGCACGAAGGUUGGCUAAUCCUGGUCGGACAUCAGGAGGUUAGUGCAAUGGCAUAAGCCAGCUUGACUGCGAGCGUGACGGCGCGAGCAGGUGCGAAAGCAGGUCAUAGUGAUCCGGUGGUUCUGAAUGGAAGGGCCAUCGCUCAACGGAUAAAAGGUACUCCGGGGAUAACAGGCUGAUACCGCCCAAGAGUUCAUAUCGACGGCGGUGUUUGGCACCUCGAUGUCGGCUCAUCACAUCCUGGGGCUGAAGUAGGUCCCAAGGGUAUGGCUGUUCGCCAUUUAAAGUGGUACGCGAGCUGGGUUUAGAACGUCGUGAGACAGUUCGGUCCCUAUCUGCCGUGGGCGCUGGAGAAUUGAGGGGGGCUGCUCCUAGUACGAGAGGACCGGAGUGGACGCAUCACUGGUGUUCGGGUUGUCAUGCCAAUGGCACUGCCCGGUAGCUAAAUGCGGAAGAGAUAAGUGCUGAAAGCAUCUAAGCACGAAACUUGCCCCGAGAUGAGUUCUCCCUGACUCCUUGAGAGUCCUGAAGGAACGUUGAAGACGACGACGUUGAUAGGCCGGGUGUGUAAGCGCAGCGAUGCGUUGAGCUAACCGGUACUAAUGAACCGUGAGGCUUAACCUU
RNAcentral lists this ribosomal RNA (2902 nucleotides) under Escherichia coli. Its description in RNAcentral is "bacterial LSU rRNA". It matches the Rfam family "Bacterial large subunit ribosomal RNA". The record is from RNAcentral. Lineage: Bacteria; Pseudomonadati; Pseudomonadota; Gammaproteobacteria; Enterobacterales; Enterobacteriaceae.